GCCCAAAGCCGUGCACCGGGCAGUAGAGUGGUGGCGGUGGCGGCGCAAGGGCGACGAUGAAAUCGUCAUCUUCCCCAAGCAUUGGUGGCGUCGGACCUGAGAGCAUCCACGCCAUUGUUGGGGAGUAAUCGGGGGAGGCCAGCGGCGCUAGUUCCGGCGAGAGAGCAGUCGGUGGAGCGGAGGCCGGCAGUGGCAUGGGGGCCAGUGCGGUUAGGGCCGGCGGUGCGCGAUCCGGCGCGUCGGCCAGGGGCGCGACGCGCGGGCGGCGCACACGGGCACGGCGCAUGCGGGGGCGGCGCGGGCGGCAAGGC
This 311-nucleotide long non-coding RNA is filed under the name Brachypodium distachyon (stiff brome). Its description in RNAcentral is "long non-coding RNA (BDIS_LNC003715)". Lineage: Eukaryota; Viridiplantae; Streptophyta; Magnoliopsida; Poales; Poaceae. The record is from RNAcentral.